This 365-nucleotide ribosomal RNA is filed under the name uncultured soil bacterium. RNAcentral describes it as "bacterial SSU rRNA". It matches the Rfam family "Bacterial small subunit ribosomal RNA", at positions 26 to 396 of the family's 1533-position model. The record is from RNAcentral.
AGAUUGAACGCUGGCGGCACGCUUUACACAUGCAAGUCGAACGGUAACAGGCCGCAAGGUGCUGACGAGUGGCGAACGGGUGAGUAAUGCAUCGGAACGUGCCCAGUCGUGGGGGAUAACGCAGCGAAAGCUGUGCUAAUACCGCAUACGAUCUAUGGAUGAAAGCGGGGGACCGAAAGGCCUCGCGCGAUUGGAGCGGCCGAUGUCAGAUUAGCUAGUUGGUGGGGUAAAGGCCCACCAAGGCGACGAUCUGUAGCUGGUCUGAGAGGACGACCAGCCACACUGGAACUGAGACACGGUCCAGACUCCUACGGGAGCAGCAGUGGGAAUUUUGGACAAGUGGGCGCAAGCCUGAUCCAGCAAUG